AACCUCCGCAAUGUGAGAAAUCGCGACGGGGGGAUCCCAAGUGCCAUUCUUAACGGGAUGGCUUUUCAUUAGUGUAAAGAGCUUUUGGAAUAAGGGCUGGGCAAGACCGGUGCCAGCCGCCGCGGUAACACCGGCAGCUCUAGUGGUAGCAGUUUUUAUUGGGCCUAAAGCGUCCGUAGCCGGUUUAAUAAGUCUCUGGUGAAAUCCUGUAGCUUAACUGUGGGAAUUGCUGGAGAUACUAUUAGACUUGAGACCGGGAGAGGUUAGAGGUACUCCCAGGGUAGAGGUGAAAUUCUGUAAUCCUGGGAGGACCGCCUGUUGCGAAGGCGUCUAACUGGAACGGUUCUGACGGUGAGGGACGAAAGUUAGGGGCGCGAACCGGAUUAGAUACCCGGGUAGUCCUAACCGUAAACGAUGCGGACUUGGUGUUGGGGUGGCUUUGAGCUGCUCCAGUGCCGAAGGGAAGCUGUUAAGUCCGCCGCCUGGGAAGUACGGUCGCAAGACUGGAACUUAAAGGAAUU
This 521-nucleotide ribosomal RNA is filed under the name uncultured bacterium. Its description in RNAcentral is "bacterial SSU rRNA". It matches the Rfam family "Archaeal small subunit ribosomal RNA", at positions 345 to 866 of the family's 1478-position model. The record is from RNAcentral.